UUUUUACAUAGUGGUCUGUUGUAUGUGAAGCAUUCGUUAGCACUUUUGCCCUCGUAACAAAACAUUUGAACCUAACAGCGCCGACGAGAACCUCCAGCAUUUGACACAGGCAAGUUAGCGUUGGCAUUCUUAUUUUCAACGUACUCUUCGGCAAGUUCUUCGCCUAGCUUGAAAAGAAAAUCACGUCUUGAUAUCUUUUGUUUUGUAACUUCUUUGUACAAGACCCAAGCAUUGAUUCCCGCCAAAUCCAGAAUAUUAAAAAAUGAAUGAACAGGCCAUCUUCUACUAGCACUUUUCAAGGAGUAUUUUCUACAUAUUUGGUCAACUACAUCAACUCAGUUCUUGGUCAAGUUGUAAAAUGACCCAGUUUCAGGCUUUGAUUUUUUAUCGUUUCCAGUUCUUAUAUCACGAUGCAUUGAGCUCAGUAAAACGACAUUUUUUUUAGUUUUUCCUUGAUAGACUGUGAGAGCUGUGUCAUCGCUUUUGAACGCUUUGGUAAAGUAAAGUUUCUUUUUGGCUUUCUUUACGCAGAUCGGCACUUCCCUUCUAGCCUUGUUGACUGUGCCAGCUAUGUAAUGAGUUUUAUGAUGUCUGCUUUAUAACUUGUACGUCUGUUGCUUUCUAGUCCUCAAGCACGUCUGCUCAACGAUAAUGUAUUUAGAAGGUUGAUUUUUAUCGCUUUUGCUGGGCGACAUUGUGGGGGACAUCUGUCACUCUCUGCAUACACAUUUCACUACCCCGCACCAGCCCUCCCCGAUUUUUAUACCGGAGCCCCCGGAAGAGAAAUGUCAAGUCGAGAAAUGUCAUUUUGCUCUGAACAACUUCACCUUGUCAUUUAUAACACCUUGCGUCUGCUGGAUCAUUCCCCAAGCAGCCAGAGCUGUCAUAUGCCAGUGUUGCCAGCAACCUUGCUUUUACAAAUUAAGCUAGUUUUUUUUUUAUUUCAAAACAUUUGCUAAUUCUAAUGAGGUGAAAGAAUUAUCACAUGUUACGUUCCUUCCUCUGUUUAAGUACGGAUCUACUAACUUUUUGACUACAAAAUCUCCAAGUCUCUCCUCUGCAGGACGUUCAUCAUUUUUUCCGAGACAAGGAAAUAUAUUGACUACAUAUUUAGAAUCUACGUCAACAGCCAUCCAAUACUUUUGCCCGUACUUACCCGGCUUCGAUGCCAUAAACUGCGUAAAUGGGCAUCUUGUCUUGGAUGGAAACAAUUGUUCAUCGACAUAAAUGUGAGGACCCGGUGCGUAAUUGGUUUGACAGUUUGAAACAAAUCUUGAAAACACAUCUGAUGUUAGGGCAAAUUUGUCGGUUUGCAAUCGUUGCGAUCGUGUGAAUUUUUCGUCAAAUCUCACAAUCCGAGGUAUCCGACAGACAGCGACAAUCUCUCCGGGUCGUAAACCAGGCUGGCGCGUCAUAUUGAGAUGGUGCACAAAUAAAUAUUGCACCUUGCAAACACUUGCAAUGUCCUAAGUGCACCAGGCAAACUGCUGCAUCAUUGCGCCGUUGUUCGGAAAGCAUACACAGCGACCAAGCAAACCGGCAAUCGAAACGUGUAGGCUACUUGUUUAGACCUGCAAGUAUUGUGCGGGGGUUCCCAAUACGAUCUAGCCACUAGUUGAGGCUUUGGGUGGAGAGCGGAGGAUAGGGACACUCAGACGAACCAGUGCUACUAAUAAAAUUGCAGUAGAGUGUACGGUAGAGUGCUUAUAUAGACUAGCCGAUUGAAUAUAGCGAAAACAUAAGCACGUAGUAAGCAAGAGUAAAAGCACGUAUGCAGUGGCGCGUUAAACGGUGGGAGGAUUGGGCGGCUGCCAGGGGCCCCGGCGAUGUAGGGGCCCCGUCAUUGUGGAUGUUCUACUUCGUAUCGAUUCUACCCCCCCCCCCCCCCCCCUCUGGAUGGGACUUUUACCAUCUAUUUGAAAAAGACUAAUUUUUAAUUCAUUCAUUUUUCCCAUCGCUUCACUCACUGUAUAUUGGCGAGCGAGACUGCAGAAAACCGGGGCCCUAUACUACUCAAAGCAGCACAUUAAAGGUUCUAUGAAAUCUGCCAAUACUUGCAUCAAAGUCGCAAGCGAAGAACGCUGCGUCACGCGCGCACAGCUCAAAUCAAUACCACAUCAUCGUUGGCGCACAGUAUUAAACAGAGCGAGAAACCGUCAGAGCAACUUGCUGCUAAAAUGGAAUGCACAGAACGCUGCGCUUAACAACCACCGAAAACCUGUUACACACACUUAAAAAUAUUUCACGAUCUCGGUUAAAAAAACUGCCGACAUUCGUCGGCUCUUUCGAUUCUUGCUGAUAUGUCAGUUGAAAAUUUCCCAUUGCCGAUCAGUACCAUUUAAAACUGAAAUAUCAGUUAAACAAAUAUUUUAACCGAAACUCGGCAACACAACAUACCGAUUACGUACGUUAAAACUGCUGUCACCGAGGUCAUCCGUCAAAAUAACCGAAAUUUCGGCUAUGCUAUUUGAGUUAGCCGAGGCUCAGUUUUCUAUCUGUCAUUCAUCAUUUUGUCGAUGCAGAAACCUUUCGGAGUGAUUUUGUGUUAUAAAAUUAAUAGUGUGAAAAAUAAAUGAAAAUAUGACACCCAGCGUGAAGAAACCGAUCAUCAGUAGCGUACGAUCGGACACGGGUGGGCUACGAAGCUCUGUCAACGCACGUAGCCAGUGCACAUAAGAUCGUCGCUCGAAGCAGUCCUUAUCCAAGGAUUACCGGAUGCUAGUCCGAUUGGACCAACCUUUGCCGGCCCGUUCGGACUUCCAGGUUUCAUUUCCAGUUACCUUUACGAGAACCGUGUCUGUACCGGUUAUAUAUAGUGCCGGUGUAUAUAUUUCGGUCUGUGCGACCGAAAUUCUCUCAGCAGUAACCGUUGCCGUGGUGGUGGUGUACUCAUUGCCUGCUCUUCCGUGCUGAACACGUCAACUUUAUCACUGCCGUUCGACUCGCUGGAGUCUGUUUGGACAAUUGUUAAGCUUCAAAACCUUGCAAUCUAUAUCGGCGCCGUUUACAUUCCACCCGAUCUGCGUUCUUCCGAAGAAGUCCUUGACGAUUUGCAUGAGAGUGUUAGUUUCGUUGCUGGCAAACUUAAAUCAAAUGAUCUUAUGGUGUUACUUGGUGAUUUUAAUUCACCAUCACUCUCCUGGCAACCGUUUGCAUCGUGCGUUAAUCACUUCAUUCCUACUGGUGUAUCUCGUGAAAAUGUUUCUCUGCUUGAUGGAAUGUUGGUAAACGGUUUGCUGCAAUUAUCUGGCAUAAAAAAUAUACGCGGAAGUCAAUUGGACCUUUUAUUUGCCAAUGCUGCCAAUGCUAUGCCUUCUUGGAGCGCUGCUCCCCCGUCAUAGCUUCACCUGUUCCACUCGUCGCGCUAGACAAUCAUCAUCCUGCUCAUGAGGCAAGUGUGCUCCUUACGCACUCUCGCCCUGCAUCCUCUCAACGAAUACCUACGGCUCGUAUGUUCAAUUUUAGGAAACUGGACUACCAAAAGCUUCAUCAUAUUUUAGCCGGUGCCGAUUGGUCCUUUACUGAUGCUGACUGUGACAUAAAUCAAGCUGUAGCAGCGUUUACUAAUGUAAUCACUUCCGCCUUCCCUUCCUGCUGUCCUCUCCUAUCCUGUCUACCGAUCCCGUCUUCGCUCCUUUUCCGUACCAUAAACUCCUUCCUACUCCUUCGUGAAUAAUUGUAUACUAUAGUCAGUAAGCACUAUUGCUGUAACCCAACGUGGCCGAGCAAUUAAUAAAAUAAAAAUAAA
Long non-coding RNA from Anopheles gambiae (African malaria mosquito), 3748 nucleotides. RefSeq lists it as uncharacterized. The transcript has 2 exons. The record is from RefSeq and is a predicted model, not a curated record. NCBI's taxonomy places the organism in Eukaryota, Metazoa, Arthropoda, Insecta, Diptera, Culicidae.